UUAAUCAUGCUGCUGUCUUUCUAAAGGUAAAUGAGAACCACCCUUUUCUUUCCUAUUCAACAUGAUUGCUUUUCCCUUUGGAUUUGAACAUGUGAUGGAUUAUAAUGAGAUGGACCUUUUAUUGUUUAUAUGUUUUUUUUUCCCAUGAUAUGAUGAGGUUUUGCAAGAGAAUAAGAGCUUUUAGUUUUGUUAAACUUUUCUUGAGUUUCUGCUUGUCAAAAAGGAGCUAAAGGCCAAAGGGUCUUCAUAAUUUUUUGUCCCUCGUUCUUUUUUCAUGAGGACCAUCUCUUAUCUAGUUUUGAUGGAAACUCGUGAUAUAAUACCUUUAUUCUCUUUAUAUCUUGAAACAAAAUGUUGCUCCCAGCUCUUACUUUAGCCAAGAACUGAAAGUUAGAAGGGGUUGCAGAUACUGUUUUUAGCCUAUGCGCAUGUAGCCAGAGUUUCCUUAGCAAAAAAACUACACCUGGUGGUUUUCCUGUUCAUGUGUUUCCCUGUGGGAGUGACAACUGAGAACUGAAAACUGCAUACAUAUGUGUUAAGAUGCUCUGAAGCAGAUGGAAGAAAGCAGCUUUAGAAUAUAAGAUAAAAUCUUUUUUAGUUCCCUAUCACACACCACCACAAGAACAGAAUCUCAGAUAAGCGAUGAGAGGAGCUUUUGACUAAUUUUUUAAUUUUAUUUUCUUAUGCCCAGUGGCUGAUAUUGGCUGGCAAAUUAAAAGUGUUCUACUAUUCUAUAUCUCAGCUUAAAACAAAACACUACAGUCCUUAGAAGCAGAUAUGUGUAAAUAGUGACCCCCAACAACAUGACAAGGGACCCAAAGGUUCUCUUUUUGGGAUGGAACUGAACUUCUCCAUGCUUAUCCCUUCCUACUCAGGUUCGUUCCUUUUUACUUUCCAAUUUCCCCUCCCUACUUUUUAUUCUCUUAUUAUAGAUAGAUGUCCUAUAUGACAUACUUCUAAUUGAUACUUGAUAAUUCCAUGGUUGUUUUUCUCUUUCACUCUCUCUGAUUGUGCAGAUGUCUUUAUUGGUGGACCCAUUUUGUUUGUGGCAGCCUAAUUUCCUGAUCUUAGAAGAGGAGGCCCACAUGAGUGAUUGCUGACGAUGGCCUGUUUCUUUCUGGUUUAGAUUUUGCAUUUUGAAGGAGUGGACCUUUUCCUCCUCCUGGCUGGUUAGAUUCAUGCCUUUGUCAAUACUCUCUCUAUUCAUAAUUAACUCACUCAGACCUAGCUAUAACUGUUAGACCAUCAUUUCUUGGGUGAUAAUUGUUAGACUAUCAUUUGUCCAUGACCUCAUGGCCUUUUUUGGACCGUCACAUAUAAACUCUUUUACUAUUAGAUAUACAAUUAUAAAGCUUUCGUGUACAAGACAAGAUGCUG
This 1377-nucleotide long non-coding RNA is filed under the name Glycine max (soybean). RNAcentral describes it as "long non-coding RNA (GMAX_LNC003825)". The record is from RNAcentral. Lineage: Eukaryota; Viridiplantae; Streptophyta; Magnoliopsida; Fabales; Fabaceae.